UGCAUCGGCCGGGAAUCGAACCCGGGCCUUGCGGGUGAGAGCCGCUAAUCCUAACAACUAGACCACAUCGGACAC
RNAcentral lists this transfer RNA (75 nucleotides) under Teladorsagia circumcincta. Its description in RNAcentral is "tRNA-Glu". The record is from RNAcentral. Lineage: Eukaryota; Metazoa; Nematoda; Chromadorea; Rhabditida; Trichostrongylidae.